GUGGAUUAGAUACCCUGGUAGUCCACGCUGUAAACGAUGACAACUAGAUGUUGGUAGGGGAACCUAUCGGUAUCGAAGCUAACGCGAUAAGUUGUCCGCCUGGGAAGUACGGCCGCAAGGUUGAAACUCAAAGGAAUUGACGGGGGCCCGCACAAGCGGUGGAGCAUGUGGUUUAAUUCGAUGCAACGCGAAGAACCUUACCUACCCUUGACAUCCAGAGAAUCCUGAUGAGAGUUGGGAGUGCCGAAAGGAGCUCUGAGACAGGUGCUGCACGGCCGUCGUCAGCU
Molecule: ribosomal RNA, 287 nt
Filed under: uncultured bacterium
Lineage: Bacteria
Description: partial 16S ribosomal RNA
Rfam family: Bacterial small subunit ribosomal RNA
Source: RNAcentral